UACGUAGGGGGCAAGCGUUAUCCGGAAUUACUGGGUGUAAAGGGAGCGUAGGCGGCAUGGUAAGUAAGGUGUGAAAGCCUUGGGCUUAACCCGAGGAUUGCACUUUAAACUAUCAAGCUAGAGUACAGGAGAGGUAAGUGGAAUUCCUAGUGUAGCGGUGAAAUGCGUAGAUAUUAGGAAGAACACCAGUGGCGAAGGCGACUUACUGGACUGAAACUGACGCUGAGGCUCGAAAGCGUGGGGAGCAAACAGGAUUAGAUACCCUGGUAGUCCCUGAG
Molecule: ribosomal RNA, 278 nt
Filed under: uncultured prokaryote
Description: partial 16S ribosomal RNA
Rfam family: Bacterial small subunit ribosomal RNA
Source: RNAcentral